UUCAGCGAGGAAGAAAGCGUGCCGGCCAAUACCCGGUACGGACGACAUCACUCGCAGAAGAAGCACCGGCUAACUCCGUGCCAGCAGCCGCGGUAAUACGGAGGGUGCAAGCGUUAAUCGGAAUUACUGGGCGUAAAGCGCGCGUAGGCGGCGUGUCACGCCGGGUGUGAAAGCCCCGGGCUCAACCUGGGAACGGCAUCCGGAACGGGCAGGCUAGAGUGCAGGAGAGGAAGGUAGAAUUCCCGGUGUAGCGGUGAAAUGCGUAGAGAUCGGGAGGAAUACCAGUGGCGAAGGCGGCCUUCUGGACUGACACUGACGCUGAGGUGCGAAAGCGUGGGUAGCAAACAGGAUUAGAUACCCUGGUAGUCCACGCCGUAAACGAUGUCGACUAGCCGUUGGGUCCCUUGAGGACUUAGUGGCGCAGUUAACGCGAUAAGUCGACCGCCUGGGGAGUACGGCCGCAAGGUUAAAACUCAAAUGAAUUGACGGGGGCCCGCACAAGCGGUGGAGCAUGUGGUUUAAUUCGAUGCAACGCGAAGAACCUUACCUACCCUUGACAUCCUGCGAACCCGGAAGAGAUUCCGGGGUGCCUUCGGGAGCGCARARACAGGUGCUGCAUGGCUGUCGUCASCUCSUGUUGUGAAAWGUUGGG
RNAcentral lists this ribosomal RNA (652 nucleotides) under Chromohalobacter marismortui. RNAcentral describes it as "bacterial SSU rRNA". It matches the Rfam family "Bacterial small subunit ribosomal RNA", at positions 434 to 1079 of the family's 1533-position model. Lineage: Bacteria; Pseudomonadati; Pseudomonadota; Gammaproteobacteria; Oceanospirillales; Halomonadaceae. The record is from RNAcentral.